Molecule: ribosomal RNA, 253 nt
Filed under: uncultured bacterium
Lineage: Bacteria
Description: partial 16S ribosomal RNA
Rfam family: Bacterial small subunit ribosomal RNA
Source: RNAcentral
UACGGGGGGGGUAAGCGUUGUUCGGAAUUACUGGGCGUAAAGGGCGCGUAGGCGGCCUUGUAAGUCCUGUGUGAAAUCCCCCGGCUCAACUGGGGAACUGCACAGGAGACUGCUUGGCUUGAGUUCGGGAGAGGGAAGCGGAAUUCCGGGUGUAGCGGUGAAAUGCGUAGAUAUCCGGAGGAACACCGGUGGCGAAGGCGGCUUCCUGGACCGACACUGACGCUGAGGCGCGAAAGCCAGGGGAGCAAACGGG